Molecule: microRNA precursor, 83 nt
Filed under: Otolemur garnettii (small-eared galago)
Lineage: Eukaryota; Metazoa; Chordata; Mammalia; Primates; Galagidae
Description: miRNA (ENSOGAG00000030090.1)
Source: RNAcentral
UAAGGUAACCAAUAGUCCUGGUUUGCCUGGAACUGAGAAGUUUCCUAGAACAUGGAACUUUCAGUGCAAACCCUGGAAGAGUC